Molecule: microRNA precursor, 101 nt
Filed under: Drosophila guanche
Lineage: Eukaryota; Metazoa; Arthropoda; Insecta; Diptera; Drosophilidae
Source: RNAcentral
CAGGAGCAGCAGCAGCAGCAGCAGCAAUAGGGAUCUGUGUAUCUGUAGAGCACCCAUCAAGCAGAGUUUCCAGAUGCUGCUGCUGCUGCUGCUGCUGCUGU